This 317-nucleotide long non-coding RNA is filed under the name Gossypium barbadense (sea-island cotton). Its description in RNAcentral is "long non-coding RNA (GBAR_LNC006991)". Lineage: Eukaryota; Viridiplantae; Streptophyta; Magnoliopsida; Malvales; Malvaceae. The record is from RNAcentral.
GCUAUGUUUUAUUCUGUAGAAAUUAAAUCCUAAUUACGAAAGAAAUAAAUUCCUAAGGACCUAAAAAUAAAUAAAUAAUAAGACAAGAGUCCCCUCUUUUAUUUUCUUGACUCAUUCCCCUUGUCAAGAAUGUUGGCCUUAUAACAUAUGACCUUAUAAUAUACAAAUGCUAACAUGGCAACACUUGUAACAUAAGAAUAAAACAUCAAAACAUAUUAUAGCAACAAGGUAACCAAAUAAUAUAUUAAUUACCCAUAUGUUAUUUAAACAUUUAAAACAUUAAUUAAGGUAUUUAUUUGUACAUGUACUUACCUCGG